This is a long non-coding RNA of Rhododendron vialii, 577 nucleotides long. RefSeq lists it as uncharacterized. The record is from RefSeq and is a predicted model, not a curated record. Lineage: Eukaryota; Viridiplantae; Streptophyta; Magnoliopsida; Ericales; Ericaceae. The transcript is spliced from 2 exons.
AACCGGUCCAUCUCCAACCCCACUACUACUUCAAAAUCCCACUACUCUUGAAACACACCUGCCGGCAUCCAUCUCUCUCUCCCAACUCCUCAACCGCUCUCUCUCUCCCAACUCCUCAACCGCCCACGCCUCUCUCCCACAACCCCACCCCCCUCUCUCUCUCACUCUCAUGGGCUAUGAAUACCCCAUUUUGUCUCAUAUGCGCCUUUCAGAGGCCAGGUUCAGAGACAAGGGCCAUCUUCCAGAGACGAGGUUCAGAGACGGGAAUCAAUUGUUGAUCACAGGCCUUCAGGAAUUUCAACCAAGUACAAUUGACUGCCAAUCUCUCUUGGGUUUUUGAUGGUUGUGUGAAAAUUUGCUAUUUUGUGAACUGGGUAUGCACCAAUGCUUCUGGGUUUUGUAAUUUUUCUGAAUUCUGGCUAUUGGGGUUUACAGUAUGACCUUGGUUUUGAUGUUGUUUAGAGGUUUUCGAAGUUUGAUUAGGAUGAUUUUGGUGGCCUGGUGGGUAUAUCAAGUCGGCUUAUGAAUGUUAUUGUGGAGGUUCAUUUUCAAAAAUCAGAAAAAAGAAAAAGAAAAA